UACAGAGGGUGCGAGCGUUAAUCGGAAUUACUGGGCGUAAAGGGCUCGUAGGCGGCCAACUAAGUCGGACGUGAAAUCCCUCAGCUUAACUGGGGAACUGCGUCCGAUACUGGAUGGCUUGGAUUUGGGAGAGGGAUGCGGAAUUCCAGGUGUAGCGGUGAAAUGCGCAGAUAUCAGGAGGAACACCGAUGGCGAAGGCAGCUCGCUGGGACGGUACUGACGCUGAGGCGCGAAAGCGUGGGGAGCAAACAGG
Molecule: ribosomal RNA, 253 nt
Filed under: uncultured bacterium
Lineage: Bacteria
Description: partial 16S ribosomal RNA
Rfam family: Bacterial small subunit ribosomal RNA
Source: RNAcentral